GUGGUCUAGUGGUUAGAGGGUCCGCCUGGGAUGCGUAAGGCCGUGGGUUCAAUUCCCAGCCGUCA
Potamilus streckersoni is the source of this 65-nucleotide non-coding RNA. Lineage: Eukaryota; Metazoa; Mollusca; Bivalvia; Unionida; Unionidae. The record is from the annotation of a GenBank genome assembly.